This is a long non-coding RNA of Carassius auratus (goldfish), 671 nucleotides long. RefSeq lists it as uncharacterized. The record is from RefSeq and is a predicted model, not a curated record. NCBI's taxonomy places the organism in Eukaryota, Metazoa, Chordata, Actinopteri, Cypriniformes, Cyprinidae. The transcript has 3 exons.
CCAGUGGGAAUUUCCAAGAUGGCUGCCGAGCCAACUGACUUGCGUUCUUCGAUCCCACAGGCGUUUCUUCCUGACAGUUCGGCCACGCUCCAAAAACACCUCAGUUUCUCCUCCAUAACUCACAUCCAGAAAGCCCAAAUGACCUGAGGUGAGACCGAAAUGCAUGAAAAAUGAAAUAAUGGCUGAAAUGGCAGCGCUCCUGCUGGCUGACAGGUGUUUGUGGAAGUCACAUCAGCAUCCGGCGUCAGAGACACGGGUGACAGGAUUUUCCCCAAGAGGACGCAGAUUUAUAUUGGCGCUCUCCACUCAUCUCAUUAAGUUCAUGAAUAUUUUUAAUAACUAAUGAUGCGUUAUUGCAGCUGGGAAUGAUUAAGCAACUGUGGUGUAAAGAAGUACGUGACUGGAGGAAUAUUAUUAGUGCAGACAAUGUUUAAUUUAUAAUGAUAAAGCAUCAGUGAUUUUGCUGAGGUGUAUUUGUGUUUUUAUGAUUUAUAUUUUCCGAAUUAAAACCAAAUUUGUAGUAGAAAGAGAUCAUAAUAGAGUAAAACACACAGUCACUGAACAGCUGGAAUUUAGUAAUGUUUUAAUAUUAUAUUUUAUAUUAAGAGGCUUGGCAUGAUCUUUCACAAUUUUUAUUGUUUAAAAGUAGUCAUUUUUGGAAAAUAUUAUGA